This 447-nucleotide ribosomal RNA is filed under the name uncultured bacterium. RNAcentral's name for it is "bacterial SSU rRNA". It matches the Rfam family "Bacterial small subunit ribosomal RNA", at positions 28 to 458 of the family's 1533-position model. The record is from RNAcentral.
GAUGAACGCUGGCGGCGUGCUUAACACAUGCAAGUCGAACGGGAAACCUUUUAUUGAAGCUUCGGCAGAUUUAGCUGGUUUCUAGUGGCGGACGGGUGAGUAACGCGUGGGUAACCUGCCUUGUACAGGGAGAUAACAGUCAGAAAUGACUGCUAAUACCGCAUAAGCGCACAGGACCGCAUGGUCCAGUGUGAAAAACUCCGGUGGUAUAAGAUGGACCCGCGUUGGAUUAGCUUGUUGGUGGGGUAACGGCCCACCAAGGCGACGAUCCAUAGCCGGCCUGAGAGGGUGAACGGCCACAUUGGGACUGAGACACGGCCCAGACUCCUACGGGAGGCAGCAGUGGGGAAUAUUGCACAAUGGGGGAAACCCUGAUGCAGCGACGCCGCGUGAAGGAAGAAGUAUCUCGGUAUGUAAACUUCUAUCAGCAGGGAAGAAAAUGACGGU